This is a long non-coding RNA of Micropterus salmoides (largemouth bass), 386 nucleotides long. RefSeq lists it as uncharacterized. The transcript has 3 exons. The record is from RefSeq and is a predicted model, not a curated record. NCBI's taxonomy places the organism in Eukaryota, Metazoa, Chordata, Actinopteri, Centrarchiformes, Centrarchidae.
CAGCUGGACAGGAAACCAAACAAGGAAUUCGGAUUUAAACAGUCUUACGUGUCAUUACCAGAGUUUCAGUGAUUCAGAAAUCUCCAGGAGACUUUACGUGAACGGAUCCCUGCUGUUUGCUGUCUCUUCAUUGAUGAGCUUUGGUCACCCUGGUAAGGUUUGUUAACGGCAGAAGAAUGAAGGCUUUGAUCCUGGUUGGGGGGUACGGGACCCGGCUGCGACCGCUCACCCUGAGCGUCCCCAAACCACUCGUGGACUUCUGCAACAAACCCAUCCUGCUGCACCAGGUGGAGGCACUGGUCAAGGCCGGGGUGGACCAUGUGGUUCUGGCGGUGAGCUACAUGUCGGAUCUGCUGGAGAGAGAGAUGAGAGUCCAGGAGAAGAGA